RNAcentral lists this ribosomal RNA (694 nucleotides) under Parmotrema nilgherrense. RNAcentral describes it as "SSU rRNA". It matches the Rfam family "Bacterial small subunit ribosomal RNA", at positions 401 to 1061 of the family's 1533-position model. The record is from RNAcentral. Lineage: Eukaryota; Fungi; Ascomycota; Lecanoromycetes; Lecanorales; Parmeliaceae.
GGAGGAUGUAUAGCAAUAGCUACUUGUAUCAUUAAUGAUGCAAGCUCGACUAUGUUGAAUAAAAUUCUAGGUAGAAUUAUGAUAAUGACAUUGUCUGCCUAUGUGUCUUGACCAAAUUACGUGCCAGCAGUCGCGGCAAUACGUAGAAGACUAGUGUUAUUCAUGUUUAAUCGGUUUAAAGGGUACCUAGACGGUGAAUCAAGCUUUAGAAUAAAGAAGAAAAGGGACUAAUUCGCUAGAGUUACUUACGAGGGGGUUUUAAAGUACUGCUGGUGUAGAGAUGAAAUUCUGUCAUACCUCUUUUCGAAAGGAAAAUAACGGCACAGGUAUAGGCGAAGGCAUCCCCUUAUGUGAUAACUGACGUUGAGGGACGAAGGCUUCGUGGAACAAACAGGAUUAGAUACCCUAGUAGUUGAAGCAGAAAAUGAUGAAUGUCAUAGAUUAGACGUCUAAGUUUAUUCUAUAAAUGAAAGUGUAAGCAUUCCACCUCAUGAGUAAUUUGGCAACAUUGGAAUUGAAAUCAUUAGACCGUUUCUGAAACCAGUAGUGAAGUAUGUUGUUUAAUUUGAUAAUACGCAAAAAACCUUACCACAAUUUGAAUAUUUAUAUUGUUUAUUGUUAUCUCAUUAAUUUUCUUUCUUUUUUUCAUUAGAAAAUUAUACAAAUAAAAAGCUAAAAGAAAUUUUGUUUUCUU